UAACGCGUGAGGAACCUGCCUUGAAGAGGGGGACAACAGUUGGAAACGACUGCUAAUACCGCAUGAAGCAUAGGGGUCGCAUGAUCUUUAUGCCAAAGAUUUAUCGCUUCAAGAUGGCCUCGCGCCUGAUUAGCUAGUUGGCGGGGUAACGGCCCACCAAGGCGACGAUCAGUAGCCGGACUGAGAGGUUGAACGGCCACAUUGGGACUGAGAUACGGCCCAG
Molecule: ribosomal RNA, 223 nt
Filed under: uncultured bacterium
Lineage: Bacteria
Description: partial 16S ribosomal RNA
Rfam family: Bacterial small subunit ribosomal RNA
Source: RNAcentral